CCCAUUGUCCCCUUUGUCCCUAUUGUCCCCAUUGUCCUGUUGUCCUCUUUGUCCCCACAUUGUCCCCAUUGUCCUGUUGUCCCCAUUGUCCCCAUUGUCCCCAUUGUCCCCAUUGUCCCCGUUGUCCCCACAUUGUCCCCUUUGUCCUCCCAUUCUCCCCACAUUGUCCCCACUGUCCUCCCAUUGUCCCCUUUGUCCCCAUGGUCCUCAUUGUCCCCUUUGUCCCCAUGGUCCCCUUUGUCCCACUGUCCCCUCAUUCCCCACUGUCCCCACAUUGUCCCUUUUGUCCCCGUGCUCCCCAUUGUCACCUUUGUCCCCACAUUGUCCUCACAUUGUCCCCAUUGUCCCCUUUGUCCUCUUUGUCCUCAUAUUGUCCCCUUUGUCCUACCAUUCUCCCCACAUGUCCCCAUUGUUGCCGUUGUUCCCCCAUUGUCCCCACAUUGUCCUCAUUGUCCCCUUUGUCCGUGUUGUCCCCACAUUGUCCCCACAUUUUCCCCGUUGUCCCCAUUGUCCCCUUUGUCCCUAUUGUCCCCAUUGUCCCCACAUUGUCCCCAUUGUCCCAAUUAUCUGCAUUGUCCCCUUUAUCCUCUUUGUCCCCUUUGUCCCCAUUGUCCCCACAUUGUCCCCACAUUGUCCCCAUUGUCACCACAUUGUCCCCACAUUGUCCCCUUUGUCCCCAUUGUCCCCAUUGUCCCAAUUGUCCCCAUUGUCCCCUUUGUCCCCACAUUAUCCUCUUUUUCCCAGUUGUCCCCACAUUGUCCCCAUUGUCCCCAUUGUCCCCAUUGUCCUCAUUGUCCCAUUUUCCCAUUGUCCCCAUUGUCCCCUUUAUCCCCUUUUCACCACAUUGUCCCCACAUUAUCCCCACAUUGUCCCCAUUUUCCCCACAUUUUCCCCAUUGUCCCCUUUGUCCCCACAUUGUCCCCACAUUGUCCCCAUUGUCCCCAUUGUCCCCAUUGUCCCCACAUUGUCCCCAUUGUCCCCACAUUAUCCCCACAUAAUAUCCACAUUGUCCCCCACUUUGUCCCCUUUGUCCCCUUUGUCUCCACAUUGUCCCCAUUGUCCUCUUUGUCCCUAUUGUCCCCAUUUUCCCCAUUGUCCCAUUUUCCCCAUUUUCCCCAUUGUCCCCUUUGUCCCCAUUGUCCCCUUUGUCCCCAUUGUCUCCUUUGUCCCCAUUGUCCCCACAUUNGAGACGCGCAUCCUCAAGGUUUGCUUCUACAGCAACAGCUGCAACCUGGGCAAGAACUUCAAGCUGGUCAAGUGCUCCGUGGGCACCGAGGUUCGGGUAGGCGGGAAUGCUCGGGGGA
This 1304-nucleotide long non-coding RNA is filed under the name Zonotrichia albicollis (white-throated sparrow). Its description in RNAcentral is "lncRNA (ENSZALG00000001425.1)". The record is from RNAcentral. Lineage: Eukaryota; Metazoa; Chordata; Aves; Passeriformes; Passerellidae.